This 305-nucleotide ribosomal RNA is filed under the name uncultured bacterium. Its description in RNAcentral is "bacterial SSU rRNA". It matches the Rfam family "Bacterial small subunit ribosomal RNA", at positions 337 to 659 of the family's 1533-position model. The record is from RNAcentral.
GCCUACGGGGCGCAGCAGUGGGGGAUAUUGCACAAUGGGGGGAACCCUGAUGCAGCGACGCCGCGUGGGCGAUGGAGUGCUUCGGCAUGUAAAGCCCUAUCCGCAGGGAAGAAAAUGACGGUACCUGACUAAGAAGCCCCGGCUAAAUACGUGCCAGCAGCCGCGGUAAUACGUAUGGGGCAAGCGUUAUCCGGAAUUACUGGGUGUAAAGGGAGAGUAGGCGGCAAGGUAAGCGAUAUGUGAAAGCCUUAAGCUUAACUUAAGGAUGGCAUAACGAACUAUCUAGCUAGAGUACAGGAGAGGAA